GAUGAACGCUGGCGGUAUGCUUAACACAUGCAAGUCGAACGGACUCUUCGGAGUUAGUGGCGGACGGGUGAGUAACGCGUGAGAAUCUGGCUUUGGGUUCGGGACAACCACUGGAAACGGUGGCUAAUACCGGAUGUGCCGAGAGGUAAAAGAGAAAUUGCCUGAAGAUGAGCUCGCGUCUGAUUAGCUAGUUGGUGAGGUAAAGGCUCACCAAGGCAGCGAUCAGUAGCUGGUCUGAGAGGAUGACCAGCCACACUUGGACUGAGACGCGGCACAGACUCCUACGGGAGGCAGCAGUGGAGAAUGUUCCGCAAUGGGCGAGAGCGUGACGGAGCAAUACCGCGUGAGGGAAGAAGGCUCUUGGGUUGUAAACCUCUUUGCUUAGAGAAGAACAAAAUGACGGUACCUAAGGAAUCAGCAUCGGCUAACUCCGUG
RNAcentral lists this ribosomal RNA (435 nucleotides) under uncultured bacterium. RNAcentral describes it as "partial 16S ribosomal RNA". It matches the Rfam family "Bacterial small subunit ribosomal RNA", at positions 28 to 507 of the family's 1533-position model. The record is from RNAcentral.